RNAcentral lists this ribosomal RNA (253 nucleotides) under uncultured bacterium. RNAcentral describes it as "partial 16S ribosomal RNA". It matches the Rfam family "Bacterial small subunit ribosomal RNA", at positions 524 to 776 of the family's 1533-position model. The record is from RNAcentral.
UACGUAGGUUCCAAGCGUUACCCGGUUUUAUUGGGCGUAAAGCGUCUGUAGGUUGUUUGAUAAGUCUUGUUUCAAAGACCCCAGCUUAACUGGGGGCAGGGGCAGGAUACUGUCAGACUAGAGUGAUAUCGGGGUUACUGGAAUUUUUAGUGUAGGGGUUAAAUCCGUGGAUACUAAAAAGAACACCAAGCGCGAAGGCGGGUAACCAGGUAUAUACUGACACUCAGAGACGAAAGCUAGGGUAGCCAAUCAG